GGUAACGAUGCUUCGUGGGUGACUGUUGUUGAUGUGUGCAGAGGGUCCCUGGUUCGAGCCCAGGUAGGGGCGAGGGAACGGAUGAAAGCAAUAUUGUUACACAUGCGGCGUUUGCAUUAUUACGUACCAUGCCAGUCCAAUCAGCCUCCCUACUUUAGUUUAUGUCUUAAGUAACCAGAUAAUUUUGAACAUAUCAUACGUUUUGGAGGUACCCCCAAAACAGUGUACGAUAGUACUAGUCAAAACGUCCUGGCUGGAUGUAACUAAGCUGCAUGGUUCAGAAUAAAGAUUGUGACUUGAUUAGAGAUUCUUGUAGAGGUGUGUUAGUGCUGGGCUGGAACAAGCUGGGAUGGAGAAUAAUGUAAUGUAGUUCCCACACACUCACUGUCCCAGCUCUCUCUUCAUUUAACCUUCUCUUCACCUCUCUCCCUUGCUCCCAUUCUCUCCUCUCCAGGUGACAGUUCACUAUACCCAGGAGAACAGGGCAGUGAUCCCUCGUAGAGUUCACACUGUGGUCAUCCCAGUGCAGCACGAUGACUACGUGACCCUGGAGGAGUAGAAGGAGAAGGUUAUAAAGGUUGUGGUGCCCUCCAAGUACCUGGACGACAACACUGUCUAUCACCUGCAGCCCAGUGGACGCUUCGUUAUUGGCGGGCCCCAGGGUGAUGCUGGGGUGACCGGUAGGAAGAUCAUUGUGGACACGUAUGGUGGCUGGGGUGCCCACGGAGGCGGGGCCUUCUCUGGUAAGGACUACACCAAGGUGGAUCUGUCCGCCUAUGCGGCACGCUGGGUUGCCAAGUCCUUGGUCAAGUACAAUCUGUGCAAGAGGGUGCUGGUGCAGGUGUCCUAUGCCAUCGGAGUGGCCGCUCCAUUGUCGAUCUCCUUGUUCAUCUAUGGUUCCUCCCAGAAGAGUGAGAAGAAGCUGCUGCAUAUCGUCAACAAGAACUUUGACCUCCGGCCUGGGGUCAAUGUCAGAGACCUGGACUUGAAAAGGCCCAUCUACCAGAAGACAGCCUGCUAUGGCCAUUUUGGCAGGAAGGAGUUUCCCUGGGAGGUGGCCAAGAUCCUCAACUUCUAGUGUGUGGCGCGCCGAGCAUGGGGUAGCAGUGACAUGGGUAGCCGUCUGUCUUACUGUUACCCAGUACGUGACAGCCAAGCCGGCAGCUGUUAGGGGUAUGGGGAGGGUAGGCAAGGGUGGAGUAGGGGGGAGUGUACUCUCUCUUUGGGUGAAACCCCAAACAUCUUGGUCAUAAUUCACAACAUCAAUGCUUUUCAUAUUUAUUCUGUAAGAAACAUUUCAAUUUAAUAUAAGCCAAUUCACAAGUGUUAAGGGUUAACAACCUCAGCAGAACUCUUGCUUAGUAUUGUAGGGAGUCCAUCGUCAUGUCAAUCGCAUGCUGUAGCGACGGUUACCCUACUAGCCAUCAGCCAAACACAUUGUUAAUGCGCACAGACCAAUUGUUUUGUCUCGAAGAACAGAAAGUACAGCACAGUCUUUCAAAACAUGUUUCAAGAACUUCAAACCCACAAAGGAAGUAAAGAUGGUCUUCACGUACCAUCAAAAUGUAGAUAUUAUUUGAACCAUUAGAGUGGGAAUAGAAAACACCAUGUAGUGUGUCUAUGCUUUCCACUGACUAAUGGUCCAUCAUUCACAUCUGACAACUCGUCAUAAAAUAGGUUUAAUCUAUUCACUCUCACUAUAAGCAUACAUUCAACACAGUAUAACUGCCCACUACGGGGGCUAUAAUGCAAUAGAGGUCAGUUGACCAUCGGUCAGAACAUUCUCGUUUGUAUGACCUCAUGUUAUAACUCGCCAGCACAGUCAAUGACUUGAUAAAGACUUUGAUUUGGUUGGUCAGUUUUUUUUAUAAUCCAUAUCUCACAUUUUAUAUUGUUUUGCAUUUAAAAAAAGACACUAGAUUGUUUGAAAACUAAAACAAUGUUUUGGCAUUGACCAGGACCAUCAACACUGAAUUGUGGGAAAUAAGUAAUUACAUUAGGGACAACUAUCUAUACUAUUAACCCAGAAUUUUUUCAAAUAUCUUAGAACACUGGAGUAAGAGCAAGAUAAAAGGCCAAUAUUUUCAUACUUUGGAUAGAUGGUUCCGAUGUUAUUUGAGAAAAGAUUGUAAGCUUUACAUUAGAGGGUUCUGAGACACCUGGGUGCAGAGUGAUGUGUUCAGAGAGGAUUGUGGCACUGAGAGAAUAGAAGGGAAGAGACAUAGUCAGGGAGAAAGAGAGACCUGAGAAACAUGGCCUCCGAUUCAGAGGGAGAGAGAGGACUGUCAGAGGAAGUGAAGAGAUAAAUAUUUAGAGGAGAUAGAGAAGACUGAUUGAGAAAGAGAGAAGAACCACCUUGAGAUAUGGCUGUCAUUUGGUAGUCCAUAGUAUGACCCCCCUGUGUGUAAAGUGCAUGUCCUGGAGGAAGUCAAUUCUGUCUCGUCUUUUUUAACACUUCUGGUGUGGGUCUCAGCUCUGGGCUGUGUGGGUCUCUGAGACAUGGGGGGUUAUGGAAGUUCAAUAGUCCUCCACCCAACCGUUCUCCUGGAUAAAGGCGUCGAUGACCUCCUUCAUGAGGACUCCAGGUGACUGGGUCAAAAUGGCCCACACUCUACAGAGGAUGGAGGAAAACUUUUAUGAUUGUUUGAGAUAUUGGUGUUUCUGUGAGAUGGUAUCUUUCAUUAUGAUUUUAAUCAUGAUUUACAUUGGACAGUAUUACCUCUGUUGAUGAGUGGUUGAUAGUCUAGCAACUGCAGGUGUAUUUAUAGAAAUAUGAAUGGAUGGUAAUUCAGCAGUAAUUGAUUGGUAGUGUGGAUGAAUAGAACAUAGACAAACUGUUCUACCCUCUCACCUAUGAACGAGUGACAGUUUACCUAUACUCCUGUUGAGUAGAGGUCUAUGUGUAUGACUAUGAAAGGAUGGUAUACUGUACCUGUAGGUGCUCCUCAAUGUCGUAGGUGAUCCCACUGGGGAUGAUGCAGGGCUCCCUCAUCAACUCAAAGCUUAUCUUUCCACACAGGUAGUCAGGGAUCUCCCGCUUCUGUGGGGUUCAGAUAAACGUAUGUAAAUCUAAAUACUUCCCCCUAGACACCAUCUCAGAUCUGGGUCAUAUUCUUUAUGGUACCAAACGGAAGAAAACUGACUGAAACGGGAAUGGACUACCUGAACUUGUCCAAUAAGAAACUUGUGAUGGGGGCGGGGGGGAAAUCGAUAGUUCGAUAUAGCAAUAUUAUUUUGGACUAUAUUAAAAAUGUAAAAUAUAUUUUUAUUUUGCUAUAGGUAGCGCUAGUCGUCUGUACCUGCGCCAAAACUCUUGUUAUUUUUCCUCCUAUAGCCUGUUCUCCAGCUUCUUUUUAAAUAAUGAGCCAACAUGUUUUCAGCACUUAUUUCCACAACUGAUCAAAACUAAAUUUCUUAUGCUCUCAUCUCUCUGCAGCAGACAUAUAGUGAGCAAUAUGUUUGGAACAUCAAAUCGCAAUAUCGAAUCAUAAUAGGUUAAACACAUUUGAAUUCAAUCACUUUGACAGCAUCCCUUUUCAUAGGUUUGUCCAUGGAAUAAGUGUUCAGAAAGUGACUUUUUGGACAUAAAUGCCAAAAUAUGCAGAAAAUAGGGAGGUGCUCAAAAUUGUUGCACUCAUUUUGCAUACUCCACCAUACCAUGAAACAUCAUGUAUUUAACACUGGAAAAUAUAUACAUUUGAUAUCAUGUAAAAGCUUACAAACAUGGUUGUCAAACUAAUUUAUAAAUGUAUUGAAAACAAUUAUAGUGUUUGUCUUUCCACACAGGUAGUCAGGGAUCUCCCGCUUCUGUGGGGUUCAGAUAAACGUAUGUAAAUCUAAAUACUUCCCCCUAGACACCAUCUCAGAUCUGGGUCAUAUUCUUUAUGGUACCAAACGGAAGAAAACUGACUUCCUCAUCUAUUCUAUUCUAAAAAUGUGAAAAUUCCAAAUACAGAUUUUUUCUAUAUUUGCAUAGUUUAAACUAGAGGUCGACCGAUUAAUCGGAAUGGCUGAUUAAUUAGGGCCGAUUUCAAGUUUUCAUAAUCGGAAAACGAUUUGGCCCAUUUUAU
This is a long non-coding RNA of Oncorhynchus kisutch (coho salmon), 4070 nucleotides long. RefSeq lists it as uncharacterized. Lineage: Eukaryota; Metazoa; Chordata; Actinopteri; Salmoniformes; Salmonidae. The record is from RefSeq and is a predicted model, not a curated record. The transcript has 4 exons.